RNAcentral lists this long non-coding RNA (31482 nucleotides) under Theobroma cacao (cacao). RNAcentral describes it as "long non-coding RNA (TCAC_LNC000563)". The record is from RNAcentral. Lineage: Eukaryota; Viridiplantae; Streptophyta; Magnoliopsida; Malvales; Malvaceae.
CAAUUCCACAACGUGAUGCAAGUGACCCACAACGACUUCCAGUCCUGCAACGGAACAUCUGCCAUAGCCUCCUACAACUCCGGAUCUGACACCGUAAGCCUCAAAAGGCCUGGCCACUACUAUUUCCUUUGCGGUGUCCCUGGCCACUGCCAAGCCGGCCAGAAAGUUGAUGUAUUGGUCACACCAUUGUCCGUAGGCCCAAGUGCAAGUCCGAGCCCUUCUCUUUUUGGUCCAACGCCUGCAAACCCACCUUCAGAAAUGUUGGCGCCUGGACCCGCUCAAAGCAGUGCUUCGUCUCUCACCUCCUCCGAGCUUUCCUUGGCAUUGGGUCUCGUUGCAGUUUAUGUCUUUGGUUUUGCCUUCUAGACGAGUGGUCUUUACUAUUGUGUUUGUAUCGGGAAUGCUUGACAUGAUUAUAUCGGCGUAGCAUCAUUAUCAUAUGGGUCCUAUGGUAUUAGGCUUGUUUAAUUGCUAGAUGUAAUAAAUGUUUAAAAAUAUAAUAUACUAUAGCUUUGCUUUUUCACCGUUUCUCCAUUUUGCAUUAUCAAAAAUUUUUGUCCAUUGUUGUGAAUCUAACUCAUUCAUAUUCAUUCCAAUAAAACAAAAGAAUCAUAAAUCUCCAAACACAAGGAACGCUGAUAGAACCAUUAUAUUACCUUAUCAUGUUCAGCUCGUUGGAUAUUUCAUAAGAUUUUUAUCUUACAUUAUUUAGGUACACAAGAUGUUAGUACUUUAUAUAAGUAAACUUAUUAUAAGCUUGUUGUAAGUAAGAGAAGAAAGUGGAUUUCUUGUUGUUCUGAUAGUUUGUGCAAAUCAAUCGGGAAGAGUUUGUUAAAUCCUAUCUGAUUUGGUAUUCUGAAUAUUUGAUUUGGUCUUCCAAAAUAACGUUUCAACAUUUUAGAAUAUUUGAUUUGGUCUUAUAAAAUAUUUUAUCUUGAUUGUUUAACGUUAUAAAGUAUAUACCAGCCUUCAUUUCAUUCUCAAUGCACCAACUAUUCUCUCUUCUUCUUCUAUACUCUCUUUCUCUUCUCUACUUUACUAAGUUCUUUCUUAUUUAGAAUUUUCUACUGUCCUUGUAUCCCUGAUAGUUUAUGCAAACGAAUCAAGAAGAGUCUGUUGAAUCCUAGGAGAAAACCUCUAUAGUCCUUUUGCAUCGAGUUUCAUACUAUGAAAAUUAUCUUUAAAGACUCUUCUUUUCUACGUUCUUUCUUAUUUAGAAUUUUCAGUGAUUCUUGUAUCCCUAAUAAUUUAUGCAAACUAAUUAAGAAGAAUCUAUUGAAUCUUAAGGAUAACUACUACAAUCCUUUUGCAUCAAGUUUCAUAUUCCGAAAGGACGAAAAUUAUCGUUAAGGACAAUGUAUCACACCUCAGACUAGUUCGAGUUGAUAUCUACUUUGAAUUUUCGUCAACAAUCUUAAGGAUAAUGGAUUCCCACACAGACAAUGUUAAUGCCUUUGUUGUAGCUUCCACCACCAUUGUUAAUGGUUUUACCCAAUAACCAUUGUCGUCAUUAUAAAUAUUGCCAAUCUAAUGCCAGAUAGAAUCCAAUAUCGUUAACAGAGGUACAAUAAUAAUAAUAAUAAUAACACAAUUGGCACCAUAGCUUGGUUGGUUGGAUCUAUAGUUUGGUGAGUGGGUCGCACCAAACUAUUUUAGUAUAAAAAAUGCAUGAAAUGUGAUUUUUGAAAAUGUGCAAUUGUUAAAUGUUAUAUUCUGGUCCAUAUGUGAAUAUUUGUAUUCUUUAUGUGUGGAUUGUGUAUAGAUUAAAAAUAUGUUUCAAAAGUUAUGUCCUAUCAUAUCUAUAUACUUAAAUACCAUGCUAGUAUGUAAUUGCAUGGGAACAAGUGUCGAUUUAAAAAAAAAAUGAGCCUUGUUUGGUGAGUCAUUAUGAUUGAAAUAUGAUGCUAAAUAUAUUAAUGUUUGGUUGGAAAUAUGAUCGUGAACAUGCUUGAAAUUGAUAACUUGGUUUUGUUUGACAAUUGUGACUAGUAUCCAGCAAAGUAUGCAAUGUAAGUGGAAUUGGUUAGAAAUUGUGUAUUAUUGAACUUGUAUGAUCAAUUAGAAUAAAUAUGUCUUUGUAAACAUGGAUUAUUAAUUGAUUUUAAGGCUGUGAGUACGUGUGAAGUCAAAGGAAAAUAAAAUCUGACCAUAUAUGUCACCCAAGAUUUGAUGUAACAUUGUAAUGGCAAAACUAACUAGGUAAUAAUGAUAUGUGGAUCUUGGAUGGUGGAAUUAUAGUUCUAGUCAUGUAAUCCAUAAAUUGAUAUAUAUAUAUAUAUAUGUAUAUAUCUAGAUGUGAUGUGAUGUGAUUAUGGUUAUGUAUGAUAUCAUUCUACAUUUGGUUUUAGUGAAAGUAUGGUGUUAUUCAACUAAUGAUCUAGAUAAAGGGGACUAUACCUUUAUCUGAGUGCUAUGUUUAUUGUGAUUAUGACAAUAGAAGUGCUGCACGUUAUCUGUAUAUAUUAAAUAUAUGAGUUUGGAAUUUUUACUACUCCUUUAGGCAUAAUGUUGUGAGUUAAUAAUAAUGUUGUACUUAGAUUAAAUAUCAACUUCUGGGUUGACAGAGAAAGCCAAUGUUAUUUUUGGUUGAAAAAUUAUAAGAUGUGGACGUGACCUAAUACUAACACAAGAACAUUAUAUUGACAGGGUACUUAUAAAGUUUGGCUAUUUUAAUAUCACACUUGUAAAUACUCCUUAUGAUGCCAAUAUCCAAUUAAAGAAAACUAGCGGUGAUAGUGUGGCUUAGUCUGAGUAUGCUCAAGUUAUUGGGAGUUUAAUGCAUUUGAUAAAUUAUACUUGACUUGAUUUAGCUUGUGCUAUGUGUAACCUGAGUAAAUAUACACAAAGUCUUAAUCGAGAUCAUUGGAUUGCUUGAGUAGAGUAAUGAAAUAUUUGAAAGAUACCAUAAACUAUGAUAUUUUAUAUAAUCAAUUUUCCACUGUAUUAGAAGGAUACAGUGAUCUUAACCGGAUCUCAAAUUCAGAUGAAACAAAAUCCACAAGUGGUUAUGUAUUCACCCUUGGUAAUUGUGCUAUAACUUACAAAUUAGCCAAAUAAACAAUAGAUGCUAAAUUUACAAUGAAAACAGAAUUUAUAGCUUUGGAGUUGGCUAGCAAUGAGUCUGAGUGGUUAAGAAACCUUUUAGCAGAUAUUCCAUUGGAAAUAAAAUUAACACCUUUUGUGUCUAUGCAUUGUGAUUACCAAAUGGCAAUACCCAUUACAAAGAAAAAAACUUUCAAUGGUAAGCAUAGAGAUAUUCAUUUGAGACAUGAUGUAGUAAAGCAAAUGUUUAAAGAUAGAAUUAUGUCUAUUAAUUAUAUGAAGUUAGAGUUGAAUUUGGUCAAUCCUCUAACUAAAUCCUUAGAAAGAUAAUUAAUUAAUGAUACAUCGAGGGGAAUAGGACUUAAGCCAAUUGAGAAAAAUCAACAAUAAUGGCAACCCAACCUAUGUGAGUGGUGAUCCUAUGAAUUAGGUUCAUAUGGGUAAUAGCAAAUUAUUUGUUAAUAAAUUGAUGUGCUAUUAAAAUUAUUGUCCCUACUAUGGUGUGUGAAUAGUGCAAGAUUACAAUGUAAGAAAAAUUGAGUUAAACUCUUAAUGAAUUCCAUAUUCCUUAUAAGUGGUGUAUUAAAUUGUAGUGUACACUUGAUGGAAUCACUUAUAUAAAUGUGGAGUGGGGUCUCUCCUAUGAGAAUAGUGACAAAUUCUGUAAAGCACUUAUGAAUAACUAGGCAUGCGCAUGCCCUAUUCAUGUAAAACCGUGUUAAACAAUAAAAAUUGUGCGGAUGUAAUGUAAUUGAUGGAAAUCAUAUUUCACAUAAAAAAAUUUUUGUUCAUAUAAGUUAUAAACUUCACCUAAAUUUUGUGAUUUAGGUUUCAUUCUUUACAAGCUUGGUUCAUAGCUUAAAAAGCACUAGUCUUAAUGUAUUACACUCGAGUGAGAUUAUAUCCAGCAAAAACUAUCUAUUAUAAAAUUUUAUGAAAUAUGUGAGGGAUUAUUGGAUAUUUCAUAAGGUUUUUAUCCCCCAUUGCCUAAGUACACAAAAUGUUAGUGCUUUGUAUAAGUAAACUUAUUUUGGGUUUACUAUAGUUAAGAAAAAAAAAAGUAGCCUCGCGAGCACAUGAUAUUGGGCCAAGCCUUGAGAAAAUGCGAAUUGCCCCUACACGUGAGUAUACACGUGGGCGAAGCCCAAGUGAUAUUUUGUACCUUGGUAGUCAACUGUAUUUUUACCUUACCUUGACUCAUUCCUUUUAUUAUGGUAAAAAGAGGAGAACUGGUCUUUGAUUCCAUAAUUGAUUUGGUAUUCUAAAUAUUUGAUUUGGUCUUCCAGAAUAAAGUUUCAAAAUAUUUGAUUUGAUCUUAUAAAAUAUUUUAUCUUUAUUUUUCAAUGUUAUAAAAUAUUUUAUUAUGAUUUUUUUAAUGUUGUAGAAGGUUCUUUUGGUAGGGAUAGAAAACGUGUUACAAUAAGUAAAGCGAAAUGAACUAAAGGAGAUAGAGAGAAAGAUUGGAGCAGUCCUUGAAGUGUACAUGUUUUGGUAACAAGCAGUUAGGAAUAAGAAAGGUGAAGAAAGCAGCAGAGCAUGGCAAAUAGAAAAUACUGAGUCGAAAGAAUAGGUUGAAGAGGUUUGAGAGAAUUUUGAAGAUAAUCUCUAAUGGGCUUUUGAUAAUUUCUCAUUACCUUCCAACCUCCAAGGCUCUCAUAUCUAUACUAAAUAAGAACACUUUCUUAAAAGUAAUUGAGGGAACAUGUUCAAUUAUGGAGAACGUGCUUGUUAUGGAAGAGCAUGUUGAAUAAUGGUUUCUGGGAUGUUAAGAGAAUGACCAUGUAGUUGGGUAGUGGAGUAGUGACACUUGAUAGUGCACCACGUGUACUCUUAAAGAAGAAAAAAAGAAAAGGGUAAAACACAUGUACUUCAAGGAAAGAUUAAGAGAAAAUUCUCUUAACUAUCUCCAUAUUUAAGCCACCAAGCCAAGCUUUCAAGAACAUCCCAAACGUAAAGAUAACUCAUGAACCCUGCCACUCGUUUUGAGUUACUUUCACUUCCUCAUAUGGAAUAGUUGUUCUAUGCUUGUUCCUAUUCUGUAGCACAAUACUUCAAGAACUAAUACUUAGUCAAAAUUGGACAUCUACAUUUUGCACCGUGCAUAAAACUUCUUAUAAAAAGUUUCAUGCAUAAAAUAAGAAGAUGCACAUAAAAUAAGAAAAACAAUACUUUUAUAUAUUUUUGUUUUAAAGAAUAAAGAAUCGCUUACAAAUUUAUGCAUUUAUUAUUAUUAUUAUUAUUAUUCUGUUAUGUGUUACGCGCUUGGGAACAUCUUUAGGCGCUUUCAUGCUUGAAAUGCCCCUAGGCACUUCAGCACGUGGAACAUCCUUUGGCGUUUUCGUUCUUGGAACACCCUUAGGCAUUUCUAUUGGGAAUGGUAUGAUCAGAUUAAAUGCAGCGGAAUGAAACAAAAAAUUGUAAAUGAAUAACAGAAGCAUGUUGCACCUACCAUGGAUCUCCUUGGUGGUUUUAAUACAAACAAAACCAGAAGAGAGGAAUAAUCAGAAAAAAUAAAAUUACCUUUACCAAGCGAUAUGGCUAUCACAAUGGUACCUCUUCUUUGUCCAACCUAUGAACACCACAAAGGAAGCAAAGAACCUGAGCCACUUAAAUGCUUGGCCUUCAACGGUUGCAUACAUGGUUGCACUUGAACCUUCACAAAAAAUGAGCUUUCUUAACUAUGCCUUUGUACUAGCAAGGUGGAUAACAACUUGUCAUCUCCACACAAUCACACUCAUCCUAACCAAACCACAAAGUUGAAAAACUAUUUUUCCAAGUCACUUAAAAAAGUGUGCAAUGAGGCUUUUCUUGUUAGUUUUUUGACAACACAAAAAAACUAACUUGUCUGUUUCACUUGUAUAAUGAAGGGUAGCUAAAAAGUGAUAUUUAUAUCUAGAUUAAUUAACUUCUUAAAUUGCAAAUAACGCCUUAAUUUUAUAACCCUUUAUAAUAUUAGCCCAACACUUAAUUAAACCUUUUUCAAUUAAGUCAUUGUAAAUUAAAAUUAAAUUAAAUUUACUUUAUUUGUUUGCAAUUAAGGUUUUAAUAUCAUAACUAAUUAUAAUAUUAGCUUUAUGCUUAAUUAAACUAUUUUAACUAAGUUCUUAAAAGUUAAAAAUCUAGUGUAUGAUUUAAGUCCAACUUAAAUUAUCACACUCCCAAGUUAAGUCAUAAUGUAACUUAUUGUGCAUAACCCAUUAGGUUCCUAACAUGUUUAUAAUUAAAUUGAAUUAUAAUUUUUAUUAAAUUGAUUAAUUCAAUUUUAUAGACCAAGAUUUGCGUAUAGUAAUGCAUCAUGGCUAUCUAAUUGUUAAGAGAGUCAAAAAGUUUUUUGAUAACCUUUCAAUAUACAGUCUAUCAAUUUAAUUUAUUCCCUCAUCGUAUAUCUUGAAAAUGAUAAAAGCAUGGUACAAUAUCUACUCUUAUUGAUUUUCAAAUUCAUUCUUGAAGUUAAAUCAUUAGCUUUAUAGAGACUUAUAAAAUUUUUUUUUGUAAUCUCUAAGUUGUCUUGGCCAAGGACUUCAACACGUUAAUAUCAACCAAAAACUGUUAUGAUAUGUCCCAUAAAUCACUUGGGGUGAUGAUUCUUUUCUUGACCACUCAUUUGCCUUUACAUGCUUCAUGCUACAACCAACCAUGUCCUGUUUUGGCAUCCUUGGCAAGACUCGUAGGGAUAUGAUUAAAUAUAUAGCAUUCCACAUAUAAGACAACUUGAUGUAUCAAGUUUAAAGAGUAUUUGUACGAUUGACACAUGGAAAAUAUUUGCAUAGACAUUAGAGUGAGAUACUAAAUGCAUUUCUCAUGUUGGGUCAUGUUCAGUGAACUUAUUCAUGGAACAAACACCUACAUUCUAAUACCAAGCAUCUCUACUUCAAUCUAUGAGAUCAGUUACUUACUUUCCAAGUAAGGAAUAUAGAUUGCACUAAUCUUUUAGCAUUAUUCAUGUCCAGUCUCAACAAUACAUCAACCAGGAACAUUAGAGAUUAUGCUUUGAUGUAUAGGGAUCUUAUAAUUGUAACCCAAUACAAUUUUCUUGUAAGGCAUAUUAAUCUCAUGGACUUCAUCCAAUAAACUUAUAACCAAUAUCAUUGAUGUCUUAUUGAUGAAUGAAAACCUUUAAUCAUUCAAUGUGAAUGAUAUGAUUGCAUGAUUGGAACUAAGACUUAAUAAAUCUCAAUUGGCUGCAGGUCUUAGUUCAAUAGUUUCUACGUUUAGAACACCUUUGGGCGUUUCAGCAAUUGGAACGCCCCUAGGCGUUUCUACAGCAUUUCCACGCUUGAAACACUUCUGGGCGUUUCUAUGUUUGCUCUCUACAUGAAAUUUUUUUUAUUGUAUUUUAUGCAUAAUUGGAGUAUUGGAUUAAUAUCAAACCUUGUGGGCAAAUAAAGCUAUUGAUUUAUAAAAUAAAUCCUCUAGAUAAUAAAGAGUUCAUAGCCUUUUAAUGAUAGCACGUUGGAUAUUAUAGAAAUUGAUUUGGCGAAACUACUGUGAGACCUCGACCUUCACAGACAUGUAACGGAGGUAAACCCUAUGAUGUGAAAUAGAGGUAGUUUGGUCAUUUUCUUGACGAGCUCCUAGAAGUGGGUUUUCUAAUAUUAUUAAGGCCUAAGUAGGCCUAAGGCAUAAAUGAAUGAUGAAAAUGAGGAUAAAAUGAUGAUGAAAAUAGAAAUAAUGAUUAUUUCUAAGGUAGGGGCAAAAUGGUCAUUUUUUAUCUCGAGUCUAAAUUUUUAAGUUUUCAUGAACCUGAGUAUUUCUAGACUAUUAUGGACUUUAUCUCCGUGUCAAAAGAGUAAAAAGAUUGCAUAAAAGAUUGGAGAAAGACAAAGCCAACUUGUUAAGGGCAUUCUCGUAAUUUAAGUGAAGUUUGGAUAAGCUUAGGCUAUAAAUAUCUCAUUUCUCAAGCAGCUUCCUCAUUUUUCCAGCAGUUUCUUGUUCUUCUUCCUCCCAUCUCACGUUUCUUCAUCUUCCAUGGAAGCCUCCCUUAAAACUUCCAUGACUCUCUCUUUCUAGCUUCAAUUUUCAUGCCUUUGAGCACUUUUUCAUAGAACCUUUUGUGCUCUAUCACUCUCUCACCUUAAAACCCUUAAAAAGUCUUUGUUUAGCAUUUUUUUCUCACUAAUUGAAAGUUUUAGAGAGAGAAAAAGGGAUUUGCCAUAGUAGCUUGAAAACUCUUAAAAAGGAGUUCAACUAUAAGUCCACCAAGGUUAGAGAUGAGUUAGGGUUGAUUUUAGGUGGUUAGAGAUGGCUAAUAAUUAGAAUUAUGGGCUGUUAUAUUUUUUAUGAUUAUAUUAUGUGUGACAGGUUCCAACGAGGCCUCACAUGUCUGUUUGAAGCAAUAAUCGAAGUUAGAGUCAAUUAAAGAUUCAACAAAUAUCAGUGAGUGAACUUGCAUUUCAAAAUUUCUUUGGGAAAUGUAAAUGUAUUUGGAUGAAACAUUUGAAUGAUUUUAUCCAACCUUUCUUUAAAAAUGUGUGCCGAGAAACAAGCUCUUGAUAAAAUGUUUUGAUGUUGUGAAAAUGUGAAAUGUGUGAAAGGAUGAAUCCAUGUGCUCCUAUAUUAUGUUGAUAUAUAUAUAUUGUGCAUUGAUGAAUAAUGUUGUGUGAUGAUGUUGAAGUGUACGAGUAGGGAGGGCACACAUGAUGAUGUUGAAGUGUGUGAGUAGGGAGUGCACACGUGAUGAUGUUGAAGUGUGCGAGUAGGGAGUGCACACAUGAUGAUGAUAUUGCAUUAAGCUGAAUGUGGUGGGAUGGUAUGCAUGAUGAUGUAUGUAUAUAUAUGUGUGUGUUCGUGUGUGUGUGUGUGUGUGUGUGUGUUAUAGAAAGUUUAUGAAACUAAUUGUGAUUGUGUUGUAUGUUGUCAUUGUUAAUUGCUCCCAAAUUGCUUUUCAUUUCAACAAGAAAAUAGCUUUUGAUAUAACAAGACCCCUUUUAACCAAAUUGCUCUAUUUCUUGCUACAGCGAGAUUCAUUUUUGCUGCAGUGAGAAGCUCUCGGGUUGAAGGGGGGUUACACUGGCCUGAUUCUCAUAGCCGCGAGAAUGUACUCUCGCCGUAGCCAGAAAUUUGCUAAAGCUUCUCACUGCAACGAGAUUUAUUCUCGUUACAGCAAGAAACUCUCAAAUGGUUCCAAAUUUUUUAGUGCAGUUCCUUCACUUUGACAAGGAUUUUGACCAUCUUCCUAUCAAAACUAGGCAAAGUUGUAAACAUAAAAUUGUAGCCCAGCAUCUUAAGUUUCUAAUGGUCAAAAAUCAUGUCAAUUGGACUUUUGUAGUACGAGAUAUGCUUAAAAAACCAAAACAUAUGCAAAUCAAGAAUGUUUCUCGCUGCAGUGAGAAACUUGCUGUCAUGCUUGCUAUCUUGCUUGUUUUUGACAUAUUUUUCACCCAUUUAACCUUAUGGAUUGAUCAUGGGUUUUUGCAACACUAUGAGGUUAUUAAUCAAAGUUUAAAAUGAGGGGUUUUUAGUAAGAAAUUAAAUCAAUUGCAUUGUUUUGAAACAAGUGCAUCAUGAUUUCCAAGUUUUCCUUAUCGAUUGCUUGUUCCCUUCUUAUAUUCACUCACUAAGUUUUAUACUCACAUUUUUAAACUUCAUGGUUUCAUAUUUGGAGGCAGUUGGGACCUAGAUUGAGUGUCCACGUAUACUUGUCUUCUUGGUAGGUACUAUGGCAUCUCAGUAGCGGUACCUUCACUUAAAGUCACUCCACUAACGGUUGAAAGUCUUUUGUCUAUGUACACGUAUAUGUAAUGUAAACUAUUAAAAGUCAUGAGGAACAAGAUCUCAUAAAGAGGCUUGCUUGAGCCUAGUGGGCUAUGCCCAUUAAGCCCAUGCAUCGGUCAUGGCCCGAGAUUUGGGCUGUGACAACUACUUCAUGCCAUUAAUUUAUAAAAAGGUUGAAGGGGCCUAAAGCCAACUCUGUUACAUACAACUAGGUGAUUUAAACCUAGAUAAAGUACUUGAACAUUGCAAACGUUUGCCAACAAAGCCAACAUUGGAAUCUAUGGAGUGAAUUGUACAAGCUUUGAAUGAAAAACAAACAAAUUGUUCAAUUUUUUUUCAAGGUAUUUGUCUAAAUUUUACUUAACUUUUUGUUUUCUUUCUGGUGAAGAAGCAAAGUUUUGGAAAGAAGAAAACAUGGAUCAUUUAGGAACCUCAAAGGGAAAUAUUCAAUAUAAAUAAUGAAAUAGAGUCAUUCUUAGAACAAAGUUUCUAGUUUUGAAGCCCACUAGAUUGGGAAAAAAUUAUACAUAUGAAUAAACUAUAUAUGAAUUGGAUAAGACUUAACAAAACAGUGGAAAUCAAGAAGACUACAUACUUGGUAACAAAAUGUGUUGUUUAGAUACACGGUAUGAGAAAUUCCUCCACCAACUCUCUUCAAACUUUCUAUGCAUUUUUUUUUAGUAUGAUCAUAGGAAAAGUUCAAGACAGGAGAGAGAAGUAGAGAUAUAUGUGGAAAAACAACAAGAUGUAGAAAAGUAUUCGAUAAGAAAAUUUAAAGUAUUAGAUUCCUACUAAGAAAAUAAUUCCUCAAAGACUACAAAUUGGAGAGAAUAGUUUUAUGGAAAUUCACAAUCAAUUUUUCUAUAAUUUCUUUCUAAGGUUUCUUUAAACAAGUAAGUUCUUUUUACAACAAUAUUGUGUUUUAUUUAUACAAUUUCUUCUUUUUUUAAUUUUAUUAUUACUUUUUUUAUUUCAUUUGUUGUAAUGUAACUUUCAUAGGGAAGAAAGGAAAAGAAAAAAAUUAUUAUUGCUGCUAUAUAGCUUUCCUUAAAUAGGAAUUUCUUUUACAUAUAUGUUUAGUGAUUUAUGUAUAUAUAUUCUUUACUUGUUUUGUUUGGCAUAAAGAUAGAAAUAAACAAAAAAACAAAGGGCAAAGAUAAAAAAUAAAAAAUAAACAUGGAAUAUUACUAUAAUUUUGAAGGAUGUAAUAGUGCAUAAGUAGGAAUGACAAUGCAUGAAUACUUAUCUAGUUGUCUUUGUUGUUCGUGUUUGUAAAAAUUUUAUCACCUCAUCUUAUGGCCAAGACUUGUUUUACCUCAAAAGUUCGCUAUGAUGAGCUUGGUAGGGCUACUCUUGGAAAGAAAAGGAAGAAUACUAUUACAACUCCUCUUUUUAAGAAAAUGGCAGAAGGGAGAAUUGAGAUAAUGGUGUCGUCAAGGAAAAAAGAGAAGAUUGCUCCUCUUUCUAAGAAAAUGCUAGUAGGGAGAAUUGGGAUGAAGUUCAAAUUUGAGUGUGGUAAAUUCCCACUUUGGGUCACUAAAUUUGGAUCCAAAUCACUAUGGGUCCACAGUUAGGAUAAUGGGUAGAGAAAAUUUUGAAGAAUUUCAUUUACUUGAUUGCUCUCAAUAAUGCUAGAGUCCUUAAUGUUGUAAGAGUCACCACUAAAUUUCGUAUUUGUAGGGAGACUAGAAUUAAAGUAUGGCAUGCUAUUUCUGCAAGGUGGAGUACUUUUUCACAUACUAUAAUUAUGCUUGAAAAAAGUUUAUUUGUACUUUUGAAGACAUGUGCAUUUUUUUUUUUGGAACUUCCUUAUGCUGAUAGAGACAACUUUUGUUCCAUUUUUUUUUCUAGGGAAGAGAAAAGUGUUAAGAAAUUCUUUAUGGACUUGUUUAAGAGCCAAGUUAAAGCUUCCAAAAUGGUGCGUUUUUCUAACUAGGUAAGGCUGUUUUAUAAGAAGUUCAAUAUUAAAGGCUAGAGCCAUCCUCCUACGUAUCUAGAUCACGCUCACGAGUUAAUGACUUUGUUAAUCAUAUAGUUGACUCCAUAUGUCCUCCCAAGUUGUCUAAAUGAUGGGAUCUUUUCUUUAGUUAUUCCUUAUGCGAUCAAAUUGCUAAAGGUGUGAGCUUUCCUCUUGCUUCAUUAUACUUAGGAUCUUUAUAUAAGAAUAUCACUCUAAAACUGCUAAAUCAGUUGGUCGCUAUAGAGUCUUGACUUAUGUGGAUGUAUCAUUCAUUUAGAUGUGUCUAUGGGAAAGAUUCCAUAGUUGUGCCUCUAUUUCUAUCGUGCACCAGCCUUUUGUGUCUUCCUCUACAAAUAAAGUUUUAAAAAACAAUUAUAGAGCUUGGACAUGGCAUAAGCAGACUUAUAAAGAGAACAUUCUUAAGGUGUUGGAUGAGGCAGAUCAAUAUACUACAAGACCUUAUGUAAGAUCAACCAAUGGUUUUAGUGAUCCAACAAUUUAUUACAAUAGGUGAACAUUUAAUGUUGGAAAAUUGAGCUAGCGUGGAUUAAACUUCUUAAUGUGGAUUCAUUCUUCUUAAUUACCUUCCAUGAUUAAGAUGACUAGUUUAAGUGCUGAUAUGAAUUCAUUUUCUAUCGAAGUAUACUCUCCUUAUAGAGUGGCGCAUCAAUUUGGGUAUGAUCAGCCAACUGCACCUAAACCCUCUUUUCUUGAAAACUUCUCUUCUUGUACUUUCUUAUUUCUUAUUGGUGUACUCAAUCAUAACAUGGAUAAGUUCAAAAACUACAUUGUCCUAGCCUUUGACAGAAUAGGUGCCUACUAUGUUGGUUGAUAUACUUAUUGGGGAGACUAUCUUUAGGAAUGGACCUUGUUUGUUAUGCCUAAUCCUAAAGUGCAAUUGCAUGCUCCUUCCAUCAGUAAAAAUGACGCGUUGCUUCGCUUAAUUCUUUAAAAGGACAAAACCUCUCACCAAGGAAGCUUGUUUCUUACUCUCUUCAUCUCCCUUUUCAUUACAUUCUCACCUUGAUAUUGAACUCCUAUUCUCUUUUUUUUUUAAAAAAAAAAGAGAGUCAACUCUAAGUGCAGAGGUGGAAAGAGAAGAUAUCUUAGAGUUUAAACAUGAAAAAGAAUCAUGUGACCACACAAAUAAUUAUGAGUUCAAUGAUGAGUCAGUUGAAGGGAGGCUUCCCAGACAUGAAUAUUUAAGUUUGGGAGAAAGAGUGGAUGGUAAUGCUAUACAAGAAAGUCUAAUAGAUAUGAUCGAUUUUUUACCUUUUACUAUGCAAAAUGUUGGUGGUGAUGAGGUGAAUGCCACUACUAGAGUUGAUUAAAGUGUUCUUGGGACUAUUUCAAGUAAUGUGAAUUCUGAUUUUUACUUUGGGAUGCCUCAAUGUAACAAUGCAAAUGUCAUUUUUGAGGAAACUUUUGGAUUUACUCGAAGCAUUCAUAAUAACUUUGGAAUUGGUGUUAUUCUUGGUGUUGCUUGCAACGUUUUCUCUUUUAAGAGUGUUUUGAAUGCUACUUGUAGUGCUUAUUCUCUUGAAGGUGUUCCGAGUACUACUUGCAAUGUUUAUUCUUUUGAAGGUGUUUCGAAUACUACUUGCAAUGCUUCUUCUUUUAGAGGUGUUCCAAAUUCUACUUACAAUUCUUUUUCUUCUAAAGGUGUUCUAAAUACCACUCACAAUUUUCCUUCUCCUUUUCGGGUGUUUUAAAUAGUAACUGUAAUGUUUCUUCUUCUCCUAUAGGUAUUUCGAAUAACAUAAAUAUUAUUUAUUUAAGUAUUGUUACACCCCUUCUUACUACUCACUAUAUGUCAUCCUAUUUUUUUUUUUUUAGUAACUGAAUGUAGAGAAGAUACUUCUGAUACUCAUUUAGAAAGCUUUCAUGGCAUUCCAGUCUUGCCACAACUCUUGUAGCUUUUGGAGAAAAUCUAUAAUGUAGAAGGUGAAUUUUGGCAUAUUAAAGGCAAAUUCAUGAACAAAGCUAAUAUAGAUACAUUGGGUAGUGCCUUAGAGAUCGCUUUCUCCCCAUGGGCGACAUUUCUUUCAAAGAAUUGUAGAAGAUGGUGGAUCUCAUGGAAGAUGUCCUCAACUCUAGUUGUCGAAUUAAAUAUCUUGACACUUGUAUAGCCAAAGUCAAAAGAUACAUUAUGACGAGGGUUGACAAACCUAGCAUAAAGGUAGAGAUAAAAUAACUUGAUGCAAGGAAGAUUAGACAACCUUUCCAAUUUUAAGAAUAAUAGAUCUUUCUCCUCUCUAAACUUCAUACUUAACUAGUUUGUUCUUGUUUUACUUUUUCUAACAUUGUAGAGUUAUUUUCCAUGCUAAAUAUUUACUUUGCUUUCUUCGUGGUUUUAUUUGUUCACUCGUAAAUUGAGAUACAUUUUUCCAUGUUUCACUAUUUGCAAACAUAUGAAGGUUUCACAAGUAUCAUUAUGCACUGCCAAAAGGGAUUUUCAACUUCACAUUAAACAGAAUAAUCCUCAAUCUAGUGUGAAGGACAAUAACACAUCCUUUAUAUGAGCAUUUAUAACUGCGACCUAUUUAUGAAGAGCAAGCUAUCGCUAGUAAGUGAGCUAUAAAACUAGCAGCUAAUAACGUAAUAUCAUUACAGUCAGAUUAUGAGCGUUAAAUCUUGCAACUGAAAAUGUGAAUUAUAUGGUGAAAAAUUUGAGAUAUAAAGCUUGUGACCAAGUGCAACAAUAAUAUUACAGCCAAAGUAAGAGUGAUAAAACUUGCAAGUGAAAAUGAAUUUACUUUAAAAUAUCACAAGACAGCCAAAAUGAAAACGAUAAAGCUACAGCUGAAAAUGCAUUUACUUUAAAAUAUACAAGGCAAUUAAACAAAAACUUACUCUAAGAAGUCAUUCAUAAAAAGAGACAGAUAGUGGAUGGCAUUCUCAUACAUGAUAUUUCUUAAUGUAUUGGAAAUUGACUAGUGCUAUAACAGAAUUGGUCUUUAUAUUCAUUAGUUUGCAAUAUCUACUCACAUUCACCUUAUGAACAAUGUAUGAUCCUUUCCACCUUAGACUAAAAUUAGCUACUGAUAUUCCUCUUGUAAUAUGUUUUGUUGCACAGGGUACUAAGUCACCCACUUCAAAGCUUUUUUUUCCUUACCAAUUUGUCAUACACUCUACUCCACUUCUUUAAUAUGUGGAAAAGUUCUUCUUGGCUUUAUCCCUCAUUUCCUCUAAUGUUUCGAAUUCCAUCAUUCAUAAAGUAUCAUUGUCCAUUUUAACAUUCAAGGCCAAUUUUGCUAAUGGAACUAGGAUUUUUGCUUGCAAAAUAACUUCUAUUCGAUAUACUAAAGAAAAAAUAAUAACAUGGGUAGGUCCUCGCUUAGAAGUUCCAUAUGCCCACAGUGCCAUAAGAACAACAUCAUGCUGCAUAUUAAGAUCAUCAUGUACCAUUAUAUUCAGCAUCUUGAGCAGAGUCUUGUUGGUGGCUUCAGCUUGACCAUUUAUUUUAGGGUAAUAAAAGGUUGACUUCACAUGGUCGACAUCAUAAAAGGCUAAGAGUUCUUUUACACUAAAGUUAACAAAUAGGAUACCAUUGUCUGACAAAAUACGCUUGGGUAUUCCAAAUCCACAUAUGAUGUUUUCUUUAAUGAAGUUGGCCACAGUUUAUCCAAUUGCAUUCUUUGAGGGAACAGCCCUUACCCAUUUGGUGAAGCACUUUGUAGCUAUGAGUAUCCAUGUAUGUCUAUAGAAAAGAGACCAAUAGGUCCAACCAAGUCAAACUCCAAAGUGUGGAAAGGCCAAGGUGUGAUGACACUAUGAAGUACUACAAUUGGAGCAUGUAUGGCGUUUCAUGGACUUGACAUUCACAACAUUUUUUGCAUAAAUCAUCGCAUCUGUUUCCAUAGUAGGAUAAUAAUAUCCAAGAUCCAACAGUUUCUGAAAAAGAUUCCUCCCCUUUCAUGUUCUUUGCUACUUUUGACGUGAACUUCUUCCAAUAAGGGAUUUACAUCAACUAGAGAAACACACUUCAGUGGACGUCGUGCAAAUGUUACUUAGAAUAAUUCAUUCCUUUUAAGGAAAAAACGUUGAGCUUUUCUCUUAAAUUGUCUUACGUUUUGGAAAAUUUGUUGGAAAAAUUCCAUUUUAAAAGAAGUUGAUGUAAGGUUUACGCCAAUCGUCCACACUUCCUACAAAAUGACAUUCGUGCACAUCUGGAGGUUCUAAACACUUGGGACAAGACUAUUGAAAUUGAAGCACAUCUUUGGACAUAUUUGGCCAAAAAUACCUUGCUUUCUCGAGUAACCGAUGCAACAGUGGUCUUUCCUCUCCACACCAUUGUGCAUACAUUUCUUUCAAUUUUUCUUCUACUUCAUGAUUAGAAAUGCAUCUAGUUAAUACUCCAUUGCCUGCCUUGUGUUACACACACCAUGGAUGAGAGUGAAGUACUUUAAUCGUGGGGUAGAUGUAGAGCUUGGAUUAAGUAAGUCUCUUACUACAAAUGCACGUCAGUCCUCUUCUUCAUAGAUGAAGGGUUGUAUAAGCUCACUAGAUGGACAUGGGAGCCUUCUUUUCAAUAUCGAAAUAGUACUUUGAUCUUCCUCCUGCAUUUGUAUCUUGGAAGCUAGAGCAAUAAAUGUGUCUGCAUGUCUAUUCGUCAAUCUUGAAUUAUGUUCACAUCUCACUUUUGAGAAUUUCUUUAAAAGUGACAAGACAAUAGAUCUGUAUAAUGCAAGCAUAGGCUCUUUAAGAGAAAACUCACCAUUUCUCUAUUUUACAAUGAGAUUAGAGUCUCCAUGGAUGCACAAAUCAUUGACUCCGACAACAAUGCCCUUAUACAACUCCAGAAUCAAGGGUUUAUACUCUGUUUGGUUGUUGGUGCAAGGGAAAUCUAGCUUGAAGGCCAAUGAGAUAGGAUCUUUUUUAUUAGGUAUGUUCACCUUUUACAUCUCCUUUGAAUGAGCUUGACUGUUGUAAGAAUUGAAGGAUGACUCAUCUGGGACAAUGUAUCCUUAAAGACAAUGUAUCACACCUCAGACUAGUUCAAGGUGAUAUCUGCUUUGAAUUUCAUCAACACUACUCAUAUACAAUAAUUCAUUUGUCAACUAAAAAUGUUACGAUAGUUUAUAUUGUGCGAUGAAAUUAAAAGUGAGACCAAUUUUAUUAUGAACAAUUUUGUUUAGGUUGGUGAUCCAAUCAUACGAGGUAAGAAACGGUUCAACACGUUUGUCAACCUUUCUGUUUGGAAAAGCUGCAUUCCUUUGAUUUAUCAAAACGAGCAUUAUAUUACUCUCAGCUUUGAAGUAUUCAUCUUACAACUUGAAGGCAAUUUAUUAAAGGGGCAUUUUAAAAAAUAGUCCUUAAAAAUAAGAUAUUUUUAAAAAUAACCCUCUUUAUAAUUUUAACUAUUUGUAGCCAAGUUGGACAAAAUUAUCCUUAAUGAAGUUACACGCUAUGAUGUUACACACCAUGUACAAAAAUCUAUGACAAGCCAUGGUUAGCGUGUUACACGCUAUGUACAAAAAUAUGUGACACACCAUGUACAAAAACCUGUGACAAGCCAUGGUUAGUGUGUUACACGCUAUGUACAAAAAUAUGUGAUACGCUAUGUACAAAAACCUGUGACAAGCCAUGGUUAACUUGUUACAUGCCAUGUACAAAAAUAUAUGAUAAGCCAUGUACAAAAACCUGUGACAAGCUAUGGUUAGCUUGUUACACACCAUGUACAAAAACUUGUGACAGGCCAUGGUUAGUGUGUUACACGUUAUGUACAAAAAUAUAUGACACGUCAUGUACAAAAACCUGUGACAAGCCAUGGUUAACGUGUUACAUGCUAUGUACAAAAAUAUGUGACAAGCCAAGUACAAAAACCUAUGAUAAGCUAUGGUUAGCUUGUUACACGCCAUGUACAAAAACCUGUGACAAGCCAUGGUUAGGUUAUUACACACCAUAUUGAAAAAAAAUAUUGUUGUUACACGUCAUGCAAAAAAACAUGUUACACAUCAUGGUUAAAAAAGGUUGUUACACGUCAUGUUGAAAAAAAAUAUUGUUGUUACAUGCCAUAUUGAAAAAAUAUUGUUGUUACACCACAUAUUCAAAAACAUUUUGUUACACUUUAAUGCUUAAAAUGUUGUUGUUACUUACGAACCAAAACUUCAAAUCCUCUCAACUUUUUUCUUUUUUUUUUAUUUUUUUGAUAAUUUGGCACAGAUUAAAGUGUUUCUAACAUGUUUUCAUAAAUUAAAAUACAAAUAUUUUUUUAUCUAAAACACCUACUUUGACUAAAAAAAAAAUCUUUGAAAACCUAGAUUUAUAAAUUUCAAAAUUUUGAGUUUAUUGGUAUCUAGGUCCCGAAUUGAUUCAAGUAAAAGUUAUUUCAUACAUUUGUGAUUAUUUCUAUUGUUUUAGUUUUAUCGAAAAUACCUAAAAAUCGAAUUUUCCAAAUAGUCACCUACCCAAGCACGUCAAAACUAUUGCUUGAUGUCUUGAAAGCAUAAAAAAGAGAAAUCUGAAAACACGGGAGAGAAAAAUUGAAAGCAUAGCAGAGGCAUGCCAAAUAGAGAAAUCGAUAAAAUUUGAGAGACUGGGAUGGUGAGAGAGAAAUUCGAAGCACAAAUGGAGAGAAAUUGAGAGAAAUUGUGAUGAAUGGUUUAAUUUAGAGGAAAUUGUGAGAAAAAGACUUUGUGAUAAAGUGAUUUCAAAUAUAACCGCCCAUAUAAAGUUAUCUGUUUCUACCAAAAAAUUAAUAUGAGUAGACCAAAAUGCCCUUAAAAAUAUCGUUUCAAAUAAAUGCUAAACUGUUUGAGCUAUCUACCUCCCGCUAGAGAGAAAAUGAAAAACAUUAAAAAUAAAUGAGCGCAGCUGUUUGGGCUCGGUCAUCUUUCUCUGUCUCAACUCUGGCAAGUCUCUGUUGAGCACCAUCGUUGUCAGCUCUCUCAGAUCUCUGAACUGUAUGAGCUUUGUCAACUCUCUGUUGAGCACCAUCGUCAUCUGGUUGUGGUCUAUCUCUCGGCAUCUGGCCACAUUGUCGUAGAUUAACACACCCUAUAGCAGAGAUGGCAUCAAGGUACCUGUUAUUGGGUUUAUUUCUGCAACACACUUAAAUUUUUGAAACAUUUGGUGUAAAUGAUAAGAUGGAUUAGAAACAUUACCUAGAGUUGUUACACACCAUGCAUUUAUAACAUGAGUGAAGAGUUAUUUUAGCGUGUCACGACUGUUACUAGCGUGUUGUGGGCUAACUAGUUAUUUGGGUUGUUAGCGUGUCACGGCUGUUCCUGGGGUGUGGUGGGUUAACUGAAUUUAUGGGUUUUUGGCGUGUCAUGGCUAUUCCUGACAUGUCAUGGGUUAACUAGUUUUUUGAGUUUUUAGCGUGCCACGGAUGUUGGUGUAACCAGUCAGUAAUUACAGUGAUGCAUGGCGUGUCACAACAUUUGACUUGAUAUGCAUGACGGGUUACAACAUUUUACGUUAUAUGCAUGGCGUGUAACAAUACGACUGACAAAUUUUUGAUCACGACAUGUAUUAUGUAAAAUGAUUGACAAUAUUUUUUUCAACAGACAUAUGAACCAAAUACAGCAGAUUCACCUAGGAGCCCAAGCGGACUUUAUGAGAAUAGGGCAUGAGAAAUGGGCACGUGCAUGUUCACCGGCAAGGAGAUACCAAAUGAUGACAUCCAACAUUGCAGAAUGUGUUAACUCAUGCUUGAAGCAUGCAAGACAAAUGCCGAUCUCUGUUUUGAUCAAGUUCAUCAGAGACAUGUUCCAGCGUUGCUUCCAUGAACGGUACGAGGAGGCCGUCAAAGUGACCACGUCCCUCAACCCUUGGGUUGCCAGGCAGUUGAGUAAAAGGUUCAAUGAUGCACAUCGCUUUCUAGUUAAGCCUAUCAAUCGAAUGGAGUUCAAAGUUAAAGACGGGAAGAUGGACGGACUUGUAAACCUAUCUAAGAAGACGUGUUCAUGUUGUGAGUUCCAAAUAGAUUUACUACCAUGCAACCAUGCCAUUGCAGCAAUAAGGUCAGAAUAUCUUUAUUUCUUAUUUGAACUGUAAUUGACAUAGCAUUUACAUUGUGCUUGAAGAUUGAGUUUUUUGUGUUUUUCAGUAAAUGCAAUCGUGAAGCCAUUGAAUUAUGCGCUGACUACUAUAAGACAACCGUUUUUGUGGAGGGUUAUUCAAGAUCCAUUAGGUCGGUCGGGCAUCCUAGUGAGUGGGACAUCCCCCCUCAUGUGAAAUAAAUUGUCGUCUUGCCCUCACCUUGGCGAGGCCAAGCAGGAAGACCUAAAAGGAGAAGGAUUCCAUCAGCUGGUGAAGGUAGUCGAGCACAGAGAUGUUCGCAAUGCAAGAGGUACGGGCAUAACAGACAGAACUAUCCAUCCCCAUUUGCAGUUUCAUCCACAAAUUCGGCACCAUCUCCAAGUCAAUCGCUGACUCCACAACUGCGUCGACCCAAAGCAUGUUCAAGUUGCAGACAAAUCGAUCACACAAGCAACAACUAUCCAAUACAAAGGACAAUGUCUGAAAAUGUAGGGUGUGUUGUGAAUGAAGACAGCCUGACCGCCUAACUAAAUGUGUCUGAAAAUCGUAGUUGAAUUCGUUUUGCUUUACGGAUUUGUCUGCUCGAUCAUUCUAUGAGGCACUUUUAGUUACGGACUUCGUUGCCAAACAUUUCAGGCAGACAAGCAUGUCAAGGCCUCUGUCUGAUCAAGAUCAUGUUAAAGUACAUUCUUACAUUGUUUGUAAAAAUGUUUUCGAUUACAAUCUCCAUCAGACAGGAGCCAUGUAUUUGCUUAUCUGCCUGAAAUGUUUGGCAACAAAGUCUAUAACUAAAAAGACCUCAUAGAAUAAUCGAGCAGACAAAAUGUCAAGAUCCUCAUACUGUAUGCGUUGGAUCUGCAAAACAUGGCAUAAAUGCACCAGUGAGUUAAGCCAUAAUGUGCAACAAGGUAUACAGAAGAAAUAAAUAAGGAAUAAAUGUGAGACACGCCAUGCAUAACAAGUAAAAUGUUGUGACACGCCGUGCAUAUCAAAUAAAAUAUUGUAACACACCAUUCAUGACAAGAAAAAUGAAAUGACACGCCAUGCAUAACAAGUAAAAUGUUGUGACACGCCAUGCAUAACAAGUAAAUUGUGCUGACACGCCAUGCAUAACAAGUUAAACAUUGUGACACGUCAUGCAUAACAAGUAAAAGGUUGUGGCACGCCAUGCAUAACAAGUUAAACGUUGUGACACGCCAUGCAUAACAAUUAAAUUGUUCUGACCUGCCAUGCAUAACAAGUUCUGAUGUGUAAAUUUAGAUGUAUUAUUUUAUAAUGGCAGGAUAGAAUUUUGGCCUGAAAACAACUGAAAAAAUAAGGGAGGAUGGAUACAGAACAAUUUCAUGCUGGAAACAAUUAGAUGGAUGGAAAAAUCUAUAUAUUCAAUGUUAAUCAAUGUAAUGUUGGGUUGGUGCAGCCGGUGUGCCUGGAAGAGAAAGACGACGAACCUGAAAAUUAAUUAAUGCCAACUUGGGGUGACACGCGAUGGCCCAAUUCUUAUGACACGCCUACUAGAAGCAGAUUAAUGGCGUCACACGCUGAGUAUCUGGAGAUUUAUGGUGUGACACGCCACAACCCAAUUGUUCUGACAUGCUGAGUGGAAGUAGAUUUAUCGACUGACACGCCAAGUGUUAGUGAUUUACGACGUCACACGCUGACUUAUUGUAGAUUUUUGGGAUGACACGCUGAGUGCAAGCAUAUGUAUGUUGGGACACACUGAGUGGUACCAUGUUUAAGGCGUCACAUGCUGACUUCUUGCGACUGUGUAUCAAAUUAAAUAUAUUGUAUAUAGAAAAGGAAAAAAAUUAUUGGUAUCAAAUUAAUUGUGUAUAGGCAAAAAAGUUAAUUGUGUAUCAAAUAAUUGUACAAAGUAUAUUGUGUAUACAGAAAGAAUUAUAUCUGUUUACAAUGAAUUGUAUACAAUAAAUUACGUAUACAAAAAAUAUGUAUAAAAUGAAUUGUAUAAAAAAAUUUAUGUGUACUAAAAAAAUUGUACAGACAAGGGCCUAUAUGUUCAGGGUUCGCUCUCACAACUGUUGGAAAAAAUUUUCAGAGCAUAUUGCCGACGCAUAUUUGUAAUCAUAUUCUGUUUAAUUUCGAUCUUUUCUGAUUGUAAAAUAUGCUCGAUGUACCUUAUCAUGAACAUAUCGCAGCUGACACUAUCAUUCUGCCAAUACACUUUAGCUUUUAGUAAAUGAAUAUCCAAUGGCAUCACGUCAAAUCCCAUCUCUUCCGACGUAUGUUGUUGAAAUAACAGACUUGGUGGCAGAUGAAUGGCAUCAUUGUCAUCAAAGGUGUCAUCUGACCUGCACGAACUCUGUUAUCCUUAGCAUCCGAAGUUCUUAUUGAGUCCACCAUCUUGAUCGUCCACCUCACCAAGUCGAUCUUCGCAACCACCCAAUGCCCACCAACGUUGCAAGGCGCAAUGAUGAAAUCAACAUCUUUCCAUUUUUUGGCGUACGUUGGCCUUUCACCCUCCACAUAGCCCCAUAACUCAUCUGAAAUUUGCAUUUUGGCUCGAGCAUCUUCUGUUGGAAAUUCGGUGUGUAGCAUACGGAUGGUGUCCUGUGAAACAUGUAAACAUUAGCUUACACUUCAUGCAAUCAAAAACUUAGUAUUUAUAGAAUUGAACAAUUUUCAAAUAAACUUACGAAGAAUAUCGUGUCAACCACGCAUGCACAGGUAGUGUACAGCUUCAACUUUGGCCCUAUCAUUCGCUUGCAGAGUAGGCUGAGGCAUGCGUCGAUAUGUUCACUUGUCAUUUCCUCAUUGGGAUCCUCUAAGGUUAUGAAAAAGUCAGCCCCUUGAUCCCCUAAGAUACCGACGUUAUGCCUGCAUAUGUAACAUAAUUAAUUUCAUAAGUCUUGGUGGAUAAUUGUUUUAUUAAAAAACAAUAUUUGCAAUUUUAUUUACGAGCUUACCUCGCGGACUCCUCUUUCUUGAAAGCUUCGUAGUCUUCUACUAUUUUAUCCCUCACAUCUCGACGGGUCACUAAGGGGUCGACGAAUGGGCUUUCCAUGUAUUUGCUAGCCAUUUUCAACCGUGCUCGUUCAGUUAGGUCUGAAAUUUCUGCUGCACCAUGAUGGACAGCAGAUGACUCUGAUGACGACGACCGUAUCUCAACUGCAUCAGGAGUGCUCUCACGAUAAAGAACAAUAACUCCUGCUGCUGCGUUGACGAAUGCAUCGGUCGGAGCAAGAUGCUCUCCUUCAGCAUCAUAUGACUGAAGGGUGACAUCCACUGCCACAGCUUCUUCGACGACAUCAUCUACAUGAGUUACGUGCUCUCCGUCAGCACCAAGAACGUCAUCGUCAAUGUCAACACCAGGUUCAUGAUGCUGUCCAUCAUCGUGCUCCAGACCAGCACCGUGAGAUGGACCGCCUUACAAAAUUGGAAAAAUCAUUAGUUAUCUCAUAAAAUACCACAAACCAUAAAUAGUAAAAUGUUGUGACACGCAGUGCAUACCAAGUAAAAUGUUGUCACACACCAUGCAAAACAAGUAAAAUGUCGUGACACGCCAUGCAUAACAAGAUAAACUUGGUGACACGUCAAGGAUAACAAGGAAAAUGUUGUGACAUGCCAUGCAAAACAAUUAAAAUGUUGUGACACACCAUGCAUAACAAGAUAAACUUGGUGACACGCUAAGGGUAACAAGCAAAAUGUUUUGACACACCAUGCAUAUCAAAAUCAAACGUUGUGACACGCCAUGAAUAACAAGUAAAAUGUUGUGACACGCUAAAGCUGACACGGCAAUAACUAACUAUAAUACAAAUGUCCUGACCCGCUAAUGAUCAAAAACCAGUUAAACCAUUACCACUUAACCCAAAAAAUCAUCAAAACCAUCAAGAAAACACAGUCUAAACAGUUGUUAAACGUAAACCAUCAAAAUACAAGCGAAGAUAGAAUAAUGUACUUGUGAUUUAAGGCCGUCAAGAACCCGACCAACAAUACGGUCCUCAAUCGUCUGCAUUACUACACUCAAUGACUGAAUUGAAGCCUUCAACUCCAACAUAUCUUUUUCAUGCUUGCGCAUGAUCCGUCGGAGCUGACGGGUUGUGAUUGCUCCGUCAUUGACUGUUCUCGACUGGGUCAACUAUAAUAACAUAUAUAAUUGUGUUAUUCAAUAAUCAUAUAUGAAAUUAUUGAAUAUUAAUCAUUACAACUUUAAUAUCCUAACCGGAGGCUCAUUAGCAAUCUGUGAUGGAGCUGGACAGAUGGGUGCUUCAGGACCUGUCGUCGCUUUCGCAUACUGCAAUUACAUAUUUAACUGUGUUAUUCAAUAAUCAUGUAUGAAAUUGUUGAACAUUAACUGUUACAACUUUAAUAUCCUUACCGCCAGCUCGUUAGCUAUCUGCGGUAGAGUCGGACCGAUCGAUGCUUCAAGACCUAUCAUCGCUUCUGCAAACUGCAAUUAUAUAUAUAACUAUGUUAUUCAAUAAUCAUGUUUGGAAUUGUUGAACAUUAACUGUUACAACUUUAAUAUCCUUACCGCUGACUUGUUAACUGUCUGCGGUUGAGCUGGACCGAUCGGUACUUGAGGACUUAUCGUUGCUUCCGUAAACUAUAAUUACAUGAAUUACUGUGUUACUCGAUAAACAUAUGUGGGAAUGUAGAACAUAAACAGUUAGAACCGAUCUUACCGAUGGAUCGUUUUAACUUUACAUCUGAGGAGGACCGGUGGGUGGUUCUAAAGCUGCCGGCCCAUGGUCCAAUUGCAAACAUAGAAAUGUUAUUCGAUAAUCACAAAUAGAAUUGGAGAACACAAAACCGUUACAAUUGUCCUUACCGGCUGUUCACUGCCUUGACCAUGGUCAUCCUCUUCAUCCAUCAACUCAUCAACUAAAGCAGUAACGGUGUGCAUCCGCUUUGUGCCACCAAAGGCUUUUUUCUCCUUCAAGCUUCUCUUUUUUUGCCUCGCACCUAAGCCCCAAUCCGACCGAUCCUCCAUGUGCCCUAUUGGCACGUACUCGUGGCCUUCCGAUAAUGGGACAUCAAGGUCCACAAAAUACUCUCAGAGGGCCUCAUCCGCGGUGAGUUCCAAAGUCUCCAAUGUCCACAAUUGCAAAUAAACAAAUAAAAUGUUGUCAUUAUCGAAUAGGAAAAAUUAUUUUACAAAUAUAAAGCAAAAAUUAGCAGUUGUUCACUCACUUGGUCAUAUGACUCUAACUUCUGAAUUGCCUUGUAGAAGUCUUUUGGCUUCUGAUUACAAUCCCAUCUGCACAUUCGUGGGUGGACGUUGUCUUUUGGACCAGAGGGGGCAACUAUUUUUCGGAGGGUCAAAAUUGCCUCUAUUGCCCAGAACUGUAUGUCAAAUGUAACCAUUAUCAGACCGUCAAUCAUAAACGACUGCACCCAUAAAUUUUUUGUUCGAAAGAAAACUGAAAAAUGUUACGUUUUAGUACUUAUAUCACCAAUGCGAAUCCAUAAAUGUUGUAGCGUAAUCGAGUUUCCUUUGUCACGCUCAAGUCAGGAACUUCGAACCCCUUCAAAAGGUAGUCCAAGGUCAGCUUCCAAACGUAGUGCUCCCAUAGGAAGACAUUCCAAGCGUCGAUGUCCUCCACCAAUGACAACAACCAAGGCGUCACCCGUCUAUGGUAGUUUUGACCAAAUAAAAUGUUAUUCGCGAUCAAGAUGAGUGCCAUCUUGGUCUCGUCUCCUGGUCACUGAAAGUUACCCCCGCGGAAGGUAUCAAGCAAAGCCUACAGCUUAACGUUGUCCUGCCCGUUCCAGUAUCUUGCAUGAAUUCCAUCCGCAGCAACCUCGUACGGUCGUCUGAACUCAUCGAGCAUUGGACCAAACUUCAACUCGAUGAUGAGGCAGAACUCCUGCUUUGAUAGCCGCGCCUUACUCUUGCCAAUGGCAAACCAUAGCUCGUGGUCCAUUGACUGCCUCUCAGUGAUCCGGCGAAUCAUGAUGCUAUGCAAGAGACAGGCGCAAAAGUACCCCUGCGGAUAGACGUCCAGGAGCAUUCCAAAGCAGGUACGCUUUACUGGAUCAUACUCCCCCUUCUAUUGGACAGUCUUUGUGAUGUAAUGCAGCUGCGACCACUUACAGUGAGUGUUAAUUGCGACGUUGAACGCCCACUUCUCCCUCAGCACGAUCAGCAAACUGUCAAUAUCCUCAUACUGUCUGCGCUGGAUCUACAAAAUAUGACACACAUGCACUAGUGAGUUAAGCAAUCAUGUGCAACAAGGUACACUGAAGACAUAAAUAAGGAAUAAAUGUUGUGACACGCCAUGCAUUACAAUCAAAAUGUUGUGACACCCUAUGCAUAACGAGUAAAAUGUUGUGACACGCCAUGCAUAACAAGUUAAACGUUGUGACAUGCCAUACAUCUCAAGUUAAACGUUAUGACACACCAUGCAUAUCAAGUAAAAUGUUGUCAAACGCCAUGUAUAACAAGUAAAAUUCUGUGACACGACAUGCAUAUCAAGUAAAAUGCUGUGACACGCCAUGCAUAUCAAGUAAAAUGCUGUCACGCGCUAUGCAUAUCAAGUAAAAUGCUGUCACACACUAAUAACUAACUAUAAUAACAAUGACGUCACACGGUAAACACCCAAAACCGCUAAAACCACUACGACUUAACCACAACAACCAUCAAACCAACAAGAAAACACAGUCUAAACAUUUGCAAAACAAAACAAAAAACCCGAACAUAUCAAACAAACCCAAGAAAAAAUCAAAAAAUUAACAAACAUAAGAAUGUUGCGAAUUUGAGACUCACUGACCUCUUCAUUCAUGGCCGACAUUUAUGCUGUUACUAUGGUUUCGUUUCGCUUGCAAAGAGCCUUCUCGAACACUCCGAUACCGACGAGAAUGAGAAAUGAAUCACACAAACGUUACGAAUUCUGAAUAAUAACUGUUUAAAAUGAAAAAUGGUCUUCUAAUAUUCUUAUUUAUUCUGAAAAAGGGAAAUUAAUUCAGUGAAAGUCUAAAGGAUUACCACGUUAACUGCCCGCUUUUUUUUCCUUUCUCUAUUUCAAACCAUGAUGUGUCAGCUGCUCAAGCACUACCGUGUCACACACUCUAAACAUGACCAUGGCGUGUCACCAACUCUAAACUCUAGCGUGUCACAGAUUCCCUCUAUGGCGUCUCACCAACUCUGAACGCUAACGUGUCACAGAUUCCCUCCAUGCCGUGUCACCAACUCUUAAUCUGACGUGUCACAGAUUCCCUCAAUGGCGUCUCACCAACUCUAAACGCUGUCAUGUCACAUAUUCCCACCAUGGCGUGUCACCAACUCUAAACUCUGGCGUCUCACAGAUUCCCUCCAUGGCGUUUCACCAACUCUGAGCGGUGCCGUGUCACACAUUCUCAACAUGACGUUUCAUAAACUCUAAACCAUGCCCUGCAACAGCCAUCUAACAUAUGGCUUGCUAUAGCAGGACCAUUUCCUGCUUUGGAUUCACAUCUUUCUUCUUUCAAUUCACCACCGUAUCAAGGAUUUCUGGUUUCACAUCAGUAGCCAAGCUUUCCAUUCAUGACGACUUGUUCCUCAUUCGAUUUAAUAUCUCUCUUCUCCUAUUAUCUGAAUGCCAUGUCCCAAAUCUUUGAAAACUCAUCUCAUGCAACAUUAUUUUGUUUUGCACAACCUUCGAAAAAAAAAUUUAGGUAUUUUGCACGACCAAUCUUUGCAUAUUUUUUUUUCUCUCAUUUUUCGCCUGUUUGAGAGUGUACGCUAACGAAGACGGCUCAUUAAGGGCAUUUUUAUCUCAAAAUCUUUUCUGUUGGCUAAAAACAGUUAAAAGUAUCUUGACGUUUAUUUACAAAAAUACGUUAUUUAUAAGGGCUAAAAAAAAUCCAUUUUAAUUUAUUUAAAAUAGUUUAAAAGGUAUUUUCGUCAAGUCAUAACUAAAUAUGGUUAAAAACAGUUAAGCUUAUUUUAAUGGUUACUUUUAAAAUAUCUUUAUUAAGAAAGGUCAUUUCUCACAAUUUUCUCUUUAUUAAAUAUACAGAGUCUUUUAGCGGUUAGGAAUUCCACUAAAUUAAGCCAAUUAAAACAAAAGGCCCAGUGACCACAUAUUGGGUGAUUACUCAAGUAGUAUUAUGCGUUUGUGAGAGAACGAUUGUCACAAUGUCAAAAACCUGAAAUAAUACAAAGAGUUUUUUUAUCCUUCUUAGAGUUAGAACGAAUGUUGCUUUAAGAAAGAGAAUGCAUAAAUGCAAAUUAUUUAUACCAAGUGGAAACCUAGCUGGAUCUGGAAUAAGCUUCAACUUGAGCAAUUUGGAGGUGAUCAAGCUAGUAAUUGGGCUAAAUUUGGUGUUGUUACGACAACUAGGCACUGGAGAAGGAAGGAGCGGGCAGAUGCCCCCUCUUUCUUUCCUUUUUUGGCUAAAAAACCAACUUCCCUCGAACUCAUUUGGGCCCCCAAGUGGUAACCAUUUUGAUUUUUAUUCUUAUGAUUAAAUCCAUGUCCCCACAUUAAUAAUAUCAACCUCACUAAUGGGCCAAUAGGAACGUAAAAUAUGUAUAGUUUGGUAAAUAAAUGUUGUUUGCUAUAGAAAUCCGUAGAAGAUGCAUGCUGUUCCAUAUCUAGAAUCGAGUCUCCCUCGAUUAAAAUCAACACAGUUCCUCGGCUUAUAUAUUAAGGUUGUAUUAUUCACAUAUGCACUCCAUCAUCAAUUUCUUUUUAGUUUCAAAUCCCUCACACUUUACUCGAGCCAUGGCGUUUGGUAUGAGUACAGCGAUUUUCCUCUUUAUGCUGGCGCUUUGUGGCGUCUCCAUGGGGGCCGUGCACCAGGUCGGAGACUUUGGUGGAUGGAACAUUGUUGCUCCAGUUGGUUACCAAAAGUGGGCUGCAACCAGGAACUACCACGUUGGCGACGUUGUUGGUAACUAAUUAAGCUCCCCGAUCCUCUGGAUUUAUACUCUUUUCCACUAGUAUUUGAUGAUUUGGUUACAUGAUAAAGUUGGUUUAAUUUGAUUGCAGUUUUCAAGUACAACAAGCUGUUCCACAACGUGCUCCGUGUGACACACCAGAACUUCAAGUCAUGCAACGCAACAUUUCCGAUUGCAGUCUACUCCUCGGGUUCUGACACCAUGACCUCACAAGGCCCGGCCACUUCUUUUUCAUCUGCGGUCUUCCUGGCCACUGUCUAAGCGGGCAAAAGCUUCACAUUGAGGUCGCUCACGGCCAGGAAAACCUUCCACCUUUUGCUUCCGGUGUUAAUCACUUACCACAGUCAGGCUCAGUGUUUUAUCAGGCGUUGGCACCCAGUUCAGAGAACAUAGAACCGAUCCCUGGCCCAGCUCAGAGCGGUGCUCCAUCUCUCAAAUUGUUCAACGUCUGGGUGGCUCUGGCAGUCCUUGCAUUUGGAUUAGGUGUUACUGGCAUCGGUUACUAGCUGAUUGGGUUUCAUUUUUAAGUAAUUGUGCCAAUGUUACAGUCUUCUAUUUAUAAAUAAGCUUAAACUGACGACAGGCAUGUUUGAAAUACACUAUAAUGUUAAUCUGCUCUUUUGAAUUGAUGAAACAGUGUUUGAAUUGAACGUGAUUGGUAAAAAACAAUGACAAUUGUUAGAGAAGAAAAAAUCUUAUAUAAUAUAAAAUUAUAUAAGUUAUAAAAGAUCUAAAUUGUAUAUUUCGAAAUCUAAAUUAUGUAUAUAUUAUAUAGAUAAAUAAAGUAUAUAUAUAUAUAUAUAUAAAGUUAAUCUUAAUUUUAUUUAUAGUCUAACUCUAUUUAAAAUAUUUUUAUUCUAAUAAGAUAGUGUAGUCUAAUUAGAUAAUAUUAUUGUAUAAUAACUCUAACUAAAUAAUUUGUAUAAUUAUCUUUUAUAUAUGGCUAAUCCUAAUCUUAUUCAUAAUUUAAUUCAAACUAACAAACAAUAUUACAGUAUAACUCUAAUAAGAUAUUAUAAUCUAACUAGAUAAUAGUAUUGUAUAAUAACUUUAACUAAAUAAUUUGUAUAAUUAUCUUAACAUUUUCUUCAAAAUGAUAUUAUAUGCAACUUGAGUUUGGAAUUAAACUAAGAUAAACUAAUUCUUGAAAUCAAUUAAAUGUUGCAUGACGUGAUGACAUGGCGAAACACGAAACAUGUGACAGAUUGUUGUGAUGUCAAAAAUUUUACAAAUAAAAGGAACUCAAACUCAAUUGGACAGUCAAGAAAAUUUAUGAAAAUAUGACAUUUUGGGAUUAAAUGUAUGCAAGUAUUAAGUUCUAUUAUAACUAAAACAAUAAUAUUAUAUAUAUAUAUAUAUAUGUUAUUGUUCUUUAGUGCACAAAAAGGAGAGAAAUUAAUAUCAUAAUGUUCAAAAUUCUCCAUUUUUUCUGACAAACAUCAUAAUAGCUUUUCACUCAAAUGAAUUUGAAAAAUUAUGACAAAAAUUAAUAACUUGUUAAAAUUUUUCAAAGAUAUUAAUAAUUACCUUUUCAAUUAAAAUUUUUAAAUAUUUUUAUAAAUAAUAUUUCAAUAUAUCGGUUUUAAUUCUCAAUUUUAAUUUUCAUAACUUAAUUUAAUUGACAACUUUACCAAAAUUUACUUAAGAAAGUUUACGUAAAUCUUAUCUUCAAUUCUUUUUUUUUUUAUCUUGCCAUUUUAUCUUUUAAUGUUCAAGCGCUUAAUUUAUUUAUAAAAACUAUGAUUGAAUGACUACAUUAUCCAUAGAAAGGAUACAAACAUAUUAAAACUUUAAGACUUUUAUGUAAAUAUAUCUUUUAAAUUUUAGAGAAGAAAAAAAAAGUAAAUUUUGUUUAAAUUGGAAAAAUAAAUAACCAAUUAAAAAAUAACAAUAAUUAAUGUCAAAAGUAUAUCGUAUUUUUUAUUGUUGGCAUCCGUUUCAGAAUACAAAUCCCUUUUGGUAUGGGAAAACCCUUUUCAUGCAAAACUUGAAGAGAUACAUGUAUUUAUAGAGCCAGUCAGCCAGCACCGUGGUUUUUCUUCACAAAUUAACCAACUCGUUGCAAACGCUUUCUUUUACAGUCUUGCUCUCUCUGUUGCUUUCUUGCUCUUCAGUUAAUUGAUUUCUUUUGAUAAUCGUGGUUCGAGUAUGGCUUCUGCUAAGAGAAUCCUGGCUUUCCUUUUGAUGCUGGCUUUCUCUGGAGUCCUCCUUGGUGCCGUUUACAAGGUCGGCGACUCUGCUAGUUGGAGUAUGAAGAGAAAUAUUGAUUUCUUCUUCCCGUUCUUCAACCUCCGAUUCAGAGCAAGUGGGUCAGCGACUUUCUCCGUAAGUUUUCUAAGCAAUUAUCAAUUUUCCUCUGUUUCUCCUUUUCUUCUUAAUUUUUUUAUUUUUUUGAGAGACUCUGCUUCUUGGUGUUGUUACGAUAUAUACCUUUUGCUACUACAUGACCGCCUUUUCUUUAUCACGCAGUUUUCGAGUAAAACAGUCAAUUUUACAAUAUGAAGCAAGUGAGUUUCAACGAUUUCCAAUCAUGCGGCGGGACUUCCGCUAUCGCCUCCGACACCUCUGGUUCUGACUCCAUCCCCCUCCCCUCGACAGGCCCGGCGACUACUUCUUCAUUUGCUGAGUUCCUGGCCACUGCAAGCCGGCCAGAAAGCUGACGUUUUGGUCACGCCAUCUUUCCUGGGCCCAAGAGCAAGUCAGAAGCCCAUCUCCUUAAGGUUUGCCACUUGCAAACCCACAGUCAGAGAUGUCGGCACCUGGCCCAACUCCUUAAGCUUCCCUAGGCAUUGUGUCUUGUUGCAUUUUGUUUCUUGGUUUUUGCUUCAAUAACUUUGUUCGGGCGGGAUUUUUUUUUUUUUUUUGUUAUUUAAUUUGGACUUGUCCUAUGGUAAUUGGCUUGUUUAAUCGUUAGAUUAAACAAAUGUUCAAUCAAGUAAAA